GUGCUCACUUUGGCAGCACAUACACUAAAAUUGGAACGAUACAGAGAAGAUUAGCAUGACCCCGGCACACGGAUGACACAAAGUCGUGAAGCUCUCCAUAGUUUC
This is a small nuclear RNA of Dipodomys ordii (Ord's kangaroo rat), 105 nucleotides long. NCBI's taxonomy places the organism in Eukaryota, Metazoa, Chordata, Mammalia, Rodentia, Heteromyidae. The record is from Ensembl.